UGAUUUGGGUCGGAAGGGACCUUGAAGACCAUUUAGUUUCAUCCUCACUGCCAUGGACAGGGACCUUUUCAUUAGACCAGGUUUCUCAAAUCUCCUUGAACACUUCCAGGGAUGGGGCAUCCACAACUUCUCUGGAGAACCUGUUCUGGUGCCUCACCAUCCUUAAUAUGCUGUUUCACUGGUUACCUCCUUCCCACCACACCCUUUCCUCCAUCAGCAGCCCACCAGCUCUGACAGGCACACCAUCCCAUUUCUGCCCAUCCGGGAAACAACAUCCAGCCUGAAACCUUAUAAUGCACACUCACUCAUCUCGCUCACUAGGCGAGCUGGUGCCAAUAACAGAGUUGACAUCAAAGGGCAGAAUGCCCUGAUUUGCACUGCCUGGCCAUAAACUGUCUAAACUCUACCCCCAGCACCCCAUCCCUAUGACCUCUGGGGUGCUAUAUUUACCAGGGCACUCUGUGUGCUAAGUCAAUGUGGAAAUCGGUGGAAAGCCUUCCUGCUCUAUUGUGAAGCUGGACUGAAACGAUUUGCAUUGGGAGCCAGCAGGAAUUCAGCUCAGAAAGGGAUCAGUGGUUAUGUGAGAUAGGAGAGUCCUACAGAGAAGUCACAGUUGUGGAUUGUUCCCUAGCUGAACUGCUGCAUCUCUCAUGAAAAUUGGAGCAGCCCCAAGACAAAAUGCAAUUGUUGAUCUUUAACAUGUCGUGAGAAUGAAAAGAGAAAUUACAUUGCAAGCAGGCAGUAAACAAGGAGAAAAUUU
Long non-coding RNA from Passer domesticus (house sparrow), 760 nucleotides. RefSeq lists it as uncharacterized. The transcript has 3 exons. NCBI's taxonomy places the organism in Eukaryota, Metazoa, Chordata, Aves, Passeriformes, Passeridae. The record is from RefSeq and is a predicted model, not a curated record.